This is a non-coding RNA of Stentor coeruleus, 46 nucleotides long. The record is from Rfam. NCBI's taxonomy places the organism in Eukaryota, Ciliophora, Heterotrichea, Heterotrichida, Stentoridae.
UUCAAGGAUUUUUUCAAAUCCACCCUGACUCAAUGAUGCUAUAAUU